GGCGGACGGUUUAGUAACACGUGAGUAACAUGCUUUAAAGUGGGGGAUAGCCUUUCGAAAGGAAGAUUAAUACCGCAUGUGGCCUUCGGGUCAAAGAUGCCUUCGGGUGUCGCUUUGAGAUUGGCUCGCGGCCUAUCAGCUAGUUGGUGAGGUAACGGCUCACCAAGGCAACGACGGGUAGCUGGUUUGAGAGGACGAUCAGCAACACUGGAACUGAGACACGGUCCAGACACCUACGGGUGGCAGCAGUCGAGAAUCAUUCACAAUGGGGGAAACCCUGAUGGUGCAACGCCGCGUGGAGGAUGAAGGCCCUAGGGUCGUAAACUCCUGUCAUAAUAGAGUAAGGCAUAUUAGAUUAAGAGUUAAAUAUGUUUGAUAGUAUAUUAAGAGGAAGGGACGGCUAACUUCGUGCCAGCAGCCGCGGUAAUACGAAGGUCCCGAGCGUUAUUCGGAAUCACUGGGCGUAAAGAGUACGUAGGCGGUUUGGUAAGUCAGGUGUGAAAUCCCGGAGCUCAACUCCGGAACUGCAUCCGAUACUGCUAGACUUGAGUAAUGGAGAGGCAGGUGGAAUUCUCGGUGUAGCAGUGAAAUGCGUGGAUAUCGAGAGGAAGACCAAUGGCGAAGGCAGCCUGCUGGACAUUUACUGACGCUGAGGUACGAAGGCCAGGGUAGCGAAAGGGAUUAGAUACCCCUGUAGUCCUGGCAGUAAACGGUGCGCGCUUGGUGUAGGAGGACUCGACCCCUUCUGUGCCGGAGCUAAC
RNAcentral lists this ribosomal RNA (761 nucleotides) under uncultured Verrucomicrobium sp. RNAcentral describes it as "bacterial SSU rRNA". It matches the Rfam family "Bacterial small subunit ribosomal RNA", at positions 97 to 856 of the family's 1533-position model. Lineage: Bacteria; Pseudomonadati; Verrucomicrobiota; Verrucomicrobiia; Verrucomicrobiales; Verrucomicrobiaceae. The record is from RNAcentral.